RNAcentral lists this ribosomal RNA (484 nucleotides) under uncultured bacterium. RNAcentral's name for it is "partial 16S ribosomal RNA". It matches the Rfam family "Bacterial small subunit ribosomal RNA", at positions 30 to 507 of the family's 1533-position model. The record is from RNAcentral.
AUUGAACGCUGGCGGCAGGCCUAACACAUGCGAGUCGAGCGGAUGAAGGGAGCUUGCUCCUGGAUUCAGCGGCGGACGGGUGAGUAAUGCCUAGGAAUCUGCCUGGUAGUGGGGGAUAACGUCCGGAAACGGGCGCUAAUACCGCAUACGUCCUGAGGGAGAAAGUGGGGGAUCUUCGGACCUCACGCUAUCAGAUGAGCCUAGGUCGGAUUAGCUAGUUGGUGGGGUAAAGGCCUACCAAGGCGACGAUCCGUAACUGGUCUGAGAGGAUGAUCGGUCACACUGGAACUGAGCCACGGUCCAGACUCCUACGGGACGCAGCAGUGGGGAAUAUUGGACAAUGGGCGAAAGCCUUAUCCAGUCAUGCCGCGUGUGUGAAGAAGGUCUUCGGAUUGUAAAGCACUUUAAGUUGGGAGGAAGGGCAGUAAGUUAAUACCUUGCUGUUUUGACGGUACCAACAGAAUAAGCACCGGCUAACUUCGUG